AGCUUGGGACAAAUGAACUUCUCAUCGAUGAAGAUGAAGACACUCCAAUCGCCUCCGGACCCGCCACAGUGUCAGUGACUGCCCAAGCAGACGGUCUGAACUCCACCUACUCAGUGCUGAAACUACCGAAAGAUGAACUUCACAUCGAUGCUCAUGAAGAUCCUCCCAUUGCCUCGGGACCCGCCGAAUUGUCAGUGGCUGCACAGUCAGGUGCGCAGAAACAGGAGCCGAAGCAGAACAUCGGAAAUGGAUACGGCCGUAAGAUCUCCGUACUCUGCCUCGUUACGAUCGGC
Molecule: long non-coding RNA, 293 nt
Organism: Hypanus sabinus (Atlantic stingray)
Lineage: Eukaryota; Metazoa; Chordata; Chondrichthyes; Myliobatiformes; Dasyatidae
Exons: 3
Source: RefSeq, a predicted model, not a curated record